GGAAGAGAAGCGAUGUAUCGCAUUUAGUUUCGACCUAAAUUUAAGUAAGUAUUAUAUUACUCUCGUCCA
This 69-nucleotide transfer RNA is filed under the name Labidura japonica. Its description in RNAcentral is "tRNA-Arg". The record is from RNAcentral. Lineage: Eukaryota; Metazoa; Arthropoda; Insecta; Dermaptera; Labiduridae.